Molecule: long non-coding RNA, 493 nt
Filed under: Gallus gallus (chicken)
Lineage: Eukaryota; Metazoa; Chordata; Aves; Galliformes; Phasianidae
Source: RNAcentral
UUUCUCUUCUCUUGUCUGAUAAUAUUGUGACAUUCUGCAUGUAGAAACUGCAAGUGAUCAGCUACCAUUCUCUGCUGGCAUUCGUGAAUCACUUUACCAUAUGAGCUGGGAUGCAAGUAUUUCCGACACCGCAUUUCUUCAUCUUUUAAUCUACCUAAAACCUUCUCCAUGUACUGUGAGCAAUUUGACUCUUGUAAUAAAUUUGAAGCUUCUUGUUUAUAAUACUCCCCUGUUUCAUUCAGAAAAGGACACUCAAAAAUUUCCUGAUAAAACUUUAGGGGCAAUUUUUUCUUAUACUGUUCAACAUGAACAAAGGAGUUAAUAACCCCAUGGAUUACUUUCUGGUUUGGGUCUUCUCCACAGCGAUCAUUUUUGAUUUCUCGGAGGAGCAUUCGAAUAAGGAUGGCCUGUAGUGGCUCAAUCAUUAAUUUUCUCCACAUAUCAAGAGCUAGCUCUCCUAUUUCCAUCAAUGGUUCAUUCAUAUCCACGCCAC